This 836-nucleotide ribosomal RNA is filed under the name uncultured archaeon. RNAcentral's name for it is "bacterial SSU rRNA". It matches the Rfam family "Archaeal small subunit ribosomal RNA", at positions 21 to 859 of the family's 1478-position model. The record is from RNAcentral.
AGGUUACUGCUAUCGGUGUUCGCCUAAGCCAUGCGAGUCAUAUGUUCUUCGUGAACAUGGUGUACUGCUCAGUAACACGUGGAUAACCUGCCCUUGGGUCCGGCAUAACCCCGGGAAACUGGGGAUAAUUCCGGAUAACGCACAUAUGCUGGAAUGCUUUAUGCGUCAAAUGGAUUCGUCCGCCCAAGGAUGGGUCUGCGGCCUAUCAGGUAGUAGUGGGUGUAAUGUACCUACUAGCCUACGACGGGUACGGGUUGUGAGAGCAAGAGCCCGGAGAUGGAUUCUGAGACAUGAAUCCAGGCCCUACGGGGCGCAGCAGGCGCGAAAACUUUACAAUGCGGGAAACCGUGAUAAGGGGACACCGAGUGCCAGCAUCAUAUGCUGGCUGUCCGGGUGUGUAAAAUACACCUGUUAGCAAGGGCCGGGCAAGACCGGUGCCAGCCGCCGCGGUAACACCGGCGGCCCGAGUGGUGAUCGUGAUUAUUGGGUCUAAAGGGUCCGUAGCCGGUUUGGUCAGUCCUCCGGGAAAUCUGACGGCUUAACCGUUAGGCUUUCGGGGGAUACUGCCAGACUUGGAACCGGGAGAGGUAAGAGGUACUACAGGGGUAGGAGUGAAAUCUUGUAAUCCCUGUGGGACCACCUGUGGCGAAGGCGUCUUACCAGAACGGGUUCGACGGUGAGGGACGAAAGCUGGGGGCACGAACCGGAUUAGAUACCCGGGUAGUCCCAGCCGUAAACGAUGCUCGCUAGGUGUCAGGCAUGGCGCGACCGUGUCUGCCGCAGGGAAGCCGUGAAGCGAGCCACCUGGGAAGUACGGCCGCAAGGCUGAAACUUAA